This 2767-nucleotide long non-coding RNA is filed under the name Canis lupus familiaris (dog). RNAcentral's name for it is "lncRNA (ENSCAFG00845008282.1)". The record is from RNAcentral. Lineage: Eukaryota; Metazoa; Chordata; Mammalia; Carnivora; Canidae.
AAGGAAAAGAAGCAGACUCCUCACUGAGCAGGGAACAUGGAUUUGGGGCUCAAUGUUGAACCCUGGGAUCAUGACUUGAGCCAAAGGCAGAUGCUUAACCAACUGGGCCACAGAAGUGCCCCUACUCUACUUUAUGUGUAGAUCUACCUCAUCUACUUACUAGAUUAAAUAAUUUUUAAAAGCAAGACACCUGGCAUCUAGCUUAUUGCUUUUCACAGUAUGGAUGCUUAAAUGUUGUUUGAAACCUUAAUGUCCCAAGAUGAAAUGGCUUAAUCCUUUGUUAGAAGGAUGAUGAGUGAAUUUAUAUUCUAUAUUUGUCUGCUUAGUUCUUUUCACCGUUUCAGUGCAAAAAAAAAAAAAAAAAAAUCAUGAAGUCCUAAAAUAAAAGAUAAUAUUCUAUAAGGUUGAUAUUUUUGUAAAUGACACUAUUCUAAAAUAAUCUCAGGAAAUCAUUGAAGAGACAUUUCAAGUGCUGUUACAGAAAGCUAAUCUCUAUUAGUUUUUUUUUUUUAUAGAAACAUAUUCCUUGACAGAAACAAGUUAUAUUUUAACAAAAUUACCAUAAUCUUUUCUUCAUAUGUGUAAUAUAAAUAAUUCACAACUAAAUAUAUCAGAGUUACACUAAAACAUGGACUAUUAAGAAAAACUCUAUUAAAAAAAGAAAAACUCUAUUUUAGCUAUAACUAUAAGAUUUACAAAGACCAAAAUAUGAAUUUACCAUACUUCUCACCCCCCCUUUUUAAAAAUAUUUAAUUUAUUUAUUCAUGAGAGACAGAGAGAGAGAGAGAGAGAGAGAGAGAGAGGCAGAGACACAGGCAGAGGGAGAAGCAGGCUCCAUGCAGGGAGCCUGACGUAGAACUCGAUCCCGGGAUUCCAGGAUCAUGCCCUGGGCCGAAGGCAGGCGCUCAACCGCUAAGCCACCCAGGCGUCCCUACCAUACUUCCUGAAUUAAAAGUCAAUUCCUCUUUCAUGGAGAUAAGAUUCCACUCAUUUAUUCAUUCAACAAAGAUUACUGAGUGUCAUGUCUAACUGUGGGGACUGGGAACACAGCAGUAAGCAAGACCGGGUUCUGUCUUUAGACAGUAUAUUUCUUUGACAGAGAUGCACAUACAGGUGUACACACUCAUACACAGACACAAUAUGUACACUUUGACCUCUGAGGUGAGAGCUAAAAGUGUUAAACUUUCAUAUAUAUACUCAGGGUAAUUUGGGAGAUUAAUGAAUCUUCAAAGAAUUAGCCAAUGUAAGACUUUGUUUUCUUCUAAAUUGUGCUAAAAUUACAUAGCUACUAAAUGUUCUAUAGCAAGAGUUCAUUUUGCACUUAAUACUUGUCACUAGCAGAAAACUGCCUUCAAAUACUACAGCUUUAAAAAAAAAAUCCCCUUUUCAAUGAGGAAACAAUUGACAAAAAGGGCUGUCUGAACUACAGAAAAGUAUUCUGUGAUACUCGUGACUGCUAAGAAACUUGAAAGUUAAAAUCCUACCACAUCUCACAAAAUUCUCUAUUUUCUAUAGCAAAUCCUUUACUACUGAAAUCACUAUGCAAAAUGCUGCCACUCAUUAAAAUGAAACAAGUACAUCUUAGAAAUUCAGAGAUAAAAUUCAGGACAAAAACUGAUAGAAGCCAACACAUUUAAAUUAGUUUGAAAAUGGGGACAUUUCUAUAAAAGAAUUUAUCUUUUGACUUCAUGAAAAUCUUUAGGGAAUUUUUAGUUUUCAUUGUAAAUUGCUGGGACAAAUCCAUUUGGUUUGUGAAUAAAAUGAAAUAUAAAGCUAUAAAACAUUGUUUACGUGAUGGUUCAGUGAGACACUUAGUAUUAUUUAUCUCAUUAAGAUAUUUUCCAGAAGGAAAAAGCAUUUGAAUUUCAGUUGUAAAUUCAUGAAAUCGGGUAUAAACUUAAGUGUAAGAAAUCUCAAAAAUAUUUUAUUGUUCCUUAGGUCUUAUGUCUUUUCACUCAUAAAUAGUAUUUGUCAGUAUAAUGCUUACUCCAACAAAAUAUUUAAAAGACAAGAAUAAAAUAUGGACAGUGGAGUAAUCUUAAGAACAAUAAAAUAUCAGUUUGAUUGAGUUUUAAGUCUCUCAAUAAUAGUCUGAUGCAACUGUUUAGAAUAAACAAUCACAGGAAAUCUGGUGACACUGCAUUGUCCUUGAACUAAAAUUCUUUGAACUAAAGAUGUUAGCUAUACAGGAGAUAGUGAGGCAGAAUAAUGGUGCCUCUCUACUCAUUUCUCUAGGUAUUGUACCAUAUACCAAAUCCUGAUUAGAAAAACUUCAGUGGUGUUUUAAAAACCGACAACUAAAUUCAUAGACUUGUUAAAAAUUUUAAAACAACCUACUGCUUUUUUCAGUUAAGAUAAAUAGGAAUUGCUGUUCCAUUCAACUAUCAUUUUUUAAGUCACAAGCUCUAUUGGCUUGGAAUGAUUUGGUUUGAUUGCUCAAGUUGAGAUUCUUUUUAAUUUUAACAACCAGUCCUAAUCUGUUCAUAUCCAAAAGAACAGUAAAGUUUAGAAGGUCUAAUUUGAGCAAAAUGCAGCACUGGAAAUACUGAGGUCUACAGUUUAUGCCAGUGCUGAGCUGGUUGAAAUAAUGGGAAAAUUGGAAUGUAACCCUGCUCCUGAAGUCCAGCUAAUAACUUUUGCCUGUGAAGAGCAGCAAAUUAAGUUAAAUCUUGUAGGAAAAUGCCAUAUGACAGACUAGCAUAAAAUUAUGGAAAAUCUUGAAGAUGUCCAGAUCCCAAUUCCUUAUGGGUUUUUGAAAAGGUAAAAA